UUUUAUUUUGACUUCAGUCCAACCUACAUUGGAUGCGGUCUUAUUUGUCCACACAUUGUUAACUGCUCUACACUUCUUGGUGCCAUCAUAUCGUGGGGUUUCCUUUGGCCAUAUAUAUCAACAAAAGCUGGGGACUGGUAUCCAGCUAACCUAGGAAGCAAUGACUUCAAAGGACUUUAUGGAUACAAGGUGUGGUGAUUGAAAGUUUUAUUUGUUACAUGCCAUUGGUUAAUGCUUCUUUCCAUACUUCAUUUUGACAGUCAACUAGUAAUCUUCUUUAUUCAAUUGUUCUAGAGGCAAUGAAUCACAAGGCAUGAAUGAUAAAAGGAAAUAGUUUUUCUUCUCUCCAUGCUUAUAAACCUUAAAAUCUAAAAGAAAUUUUGGCUGCUGAUGUGAUCCUAGAGUAAUCAAUGUUUCAUUGGUGGACAUAGUGUUGGUGAGAACCGUGAAAUUUGGUUCAAGACUGAUAACUCAGUGCUGAAAGCAUAGAGUGUCUAGUCAGCCUUACAUCUUAAUUGUAUUUGUUAUGCAUUUAUAUAGUGAAAUAACUUAUGGAUAGCAUAUCUAGCUCAUUUAGUUCCUAGAGAAUUUUUGGUUUACAUGGUGAUCACUGAUCAGUCUUCACAACUUUAGUUCACCAACAUUAAGCUGUAUUUCUUCCCUGUGUUCCAGGUUUUUAUAUCUGUAUCUGUGAUACUUGGGGAUGGUCUCUAUAAUCUCAUCAAGAUCAUUUAUGCUACUAUCAAGGAAAUAAUGAAUGCACGGGCGAAGCAAGGAAGACUUCC
This 785-nucleotide long non-coding RNA is filed under the name Setaria italica (foxtail millet). Its description in RNAcentral is "long non-coding RNA (SITA_LNC005182)". Lineage: Eukaryota; Viridiplantae; Streptophyta; Magnoliopsida; Poales; Poaceae. The record is from RNAcentral.